CCUACGGGUGGCAGCAGUGAGGAAUAUUGGUCAAUGGGCGGAAGCCUGAACCAGCCAAGUAGCGUGCAGGAUGACGGCCCUACGGGUUGUAAACUGCUUUUAUACGGGAAUAACGCGCCUUACGUGUAGGGCUUUGCAUGUACCGUAUGAAUAAGGACCGGCUAAUUCCGUGCCAGCAGACGCGGUAAUACGGAAGGUCCGGGCGUUAUCCGGAUUUAUUGGGGUUAAAGGGAGCGUAGGCCGCAUGUCAAGCGUGCUGUGAAAUGUACGGGCUCAACCCGGGCCUUGCAGCGCGAACUGGCGUGCAUGAGUCCGCGGAAGGCAGGCGGAAUUCGUCGUGGAGCGGUGAAAUGCUUAGAUAUGACGAAGAACCCCGAUUGCGAAGGCAGCUUGCUGCAGCGGAACUGACGCUGAUGCUCGAAAGCGCGGGUAUCGAACAGGAUUAGAUACCCUAGUAGUC
Molecule: ribosomal RNA, 460 nt
Filed under: uncultured bacterium
Lineage: Bacteria
Description: partial 16S ribosomal RNA
Rfam family: Bacterial small subunit ribosomal RNA
Source: RNAcentral